Molecule: long non-coding RNA, 213 nt
Filed under: Monodelphis domestica (gray short-tailed opossum)
Lineage: Eukaryota; Metazoa; Chordata; Mammalia; Didelphimorphia; Didelphidae
Description: lncRNA (ENSMODG00000042205.1)
Source: RNAcentral
ACUAGUGGAACUACUUGGAAAGGAAAAGGGACCUGGAUGAAGAAAUGCCAGAUAUAACUAUAUGAAGAUUCAAACAUACCCUUGUAGGUUUUAAUGAAGGAAAAAAAAACUAUAUAUAUAUAUAUAUAUAUAUAUAUUUAAAACAUUAUUGGGGCCAAUUAAUUGACACUGCUGCAAGCUUUUCAUGACUCUAUAUCAGCUACAUAAUGGCAG